This 206-nucleotide ribosomal RNA is filed under the name uncultured bacterium. RNAcentral describes it as "partial 16S ribosomal RNA". It matches the Rfam family "Bacterial small subunit ribosomal RNA", at positions 587 to 793 of the family's 1533-position model. The record is from RNAcentral.
GUUGGAUGUGAAAUCCCCCGGGCUCAACCUGGGAACUGCAUUCAAAACUGACUGACUAGAGUAUGGUAGAGGGUGGUGAAUUCCUGUGUAGCGGUGAAAUGCGUAGAUAUAGGAAGGAACACCAGUGGCGAAGGCGACACCUGGACUGAUACUGACACUGAGGUGCGAAAGCGUGGGGAGCAAACAGGAUUAGAUACCCCUGGUAG